UUUCCGUAGGUGAACCUGCGGAAGGAUCAUUCAUAAUAAAGUGUUUUAUGACACUUUUUAAAAAUCCAUAUCCACCUUGUGUGCAAUGUUAGAUCUCGUCAAUCUUGGCGAGAUUUUUAUACAUCAACUCAUUCUUUAACUAAUUUGUCUGAAAAAUAUUAUGAAUACUUAAUUCAAAAUACAACUUUCAACAACGGAUCUCUUGGCUCUC
This 211-nucleotide unclassified non-coding RNA is filed under the name plant metagenome. RNAcentral describes it as "partial contains small subunit ribosomal RNA, internal transcribed spacer 1, and 5.8S ribosomal RNA". The record is from RNAcentral.